This 403-nucleotide ribosomal RNA is filed under the name uncultured bacterium. RNAcentral's name for it is "bacterial SSU rRNA". It matches the Rfam family "Bacterial small subunit ribosomal RNA", at positions 355 to 775 of the family's 1533-position model. The record is from RNAcentral.
UGGGGAAUCUUAGACAAUGGGGGCAACCCUGAUCUAGCCAUGCCGCGUGAGUGAUGAAGGCCUUAGGGUUGUAAAGCUCUUUCAGCUGGGAAGAUAAUGACGGUACCAGCAGAAGAAGCCCCGGCUAACUCCGUGCCAGCAGCCGCGGUAAUACGGAGGGGGCUAGCGUUGUUCGGAAUUACUGGGCGUAAAGCGCACGUAGGCGGAUUGGAAAGUUGGGGGUGAAAUCCCGGGGCUCAACCCCGGAACUGCCUCCAAAACUACCAGUCUUGAGGUCGAGAGAGGUGAGUGGAAUUCCGAGUGUAGAGGUGAAAUUCGUAGAUAUUCGGAGGAACACCAGUGGCGAAGGCGGCUCACUGGCUCGAUACUGACGCUGAGGGGCGAAAGCGUGGGGAGCAAACAG